Molecule: transfer RNA, 61 nt
Filed under: Pareas formosensis (Formosa slug snake)
Lineage: Eukaryota; Metazoa; Chordata; Lepidosauria; Squamata; Pareidae
Description: tRNA-Pro
Source: RNAcentral
CAAAGAGUAGUUUAAGUAAAAUGCUGGUUUUGGGGACCAGAGAUGGGCGUGCUCUCUUUGA